GAGGAACGCUAGCGAUAGGCUUAACACAUGCAAGUCGAGGGGCAGCAUGGUCUUAGCUUGCUAAGACUGAUGGCGACCGGCGCACGGGUGCGUAACGCGUAUGCAACUUGCCUCACAGGGGGGGUAAACCCGUCGAAAGAGGGAUUAUUACCGCGUAACCUUGGAGGGAGGCAUCCCCCAUCAAGGAAAAAAAAUUCGCUGUGAGAUAGGCAUGCGUCCCAUUAGCUAGUUGGUGAGGUAACGGCUCACCAAGGCAACGAUGGGUAGGGGAACUGAGAGGUUGAACCCCCACACUGGUACUGAGACAUGGACCAGACUCCUACGGGAGGCAGCAGUGAGGAAUAUUGGUCAAUGGGCGAGAGCCUGAACCAGCCAAGUCGCGUGAAGGAUGACUGUCUUAUGGAUUGUAAACUUCUUUUGUAGGGGAAUAAAGAACGGUACGUGUACCGUAGUGAAUGUACCCUACGAAUAAGCAUCGGCUAACUCCGUGCCAGCCGCCGCAGUAA
RNAcentral lists this ribosomal RNA (506 nucleotides) under uncultured bacterium. Its description in RNAcentral is "partial 16S ribosomal RNA". It matches the Rfam family "Bacterial small subunit ribosomal RNA", at positions 28 to 523 of the family's 1533-position model. The record is from RNAcentral.